CCGCUAGUAAUGGGCUGAAUUGUUAUGACUGUUAUGGGCUGAAGUGUGUCCCCUAAAAUUCAUACAUUGAAGUACUAACCCUCAGUACCUCAAAACAUGACCUUAUUUGGAAAUAGGGUCUUUAGGGUGGGCCCUAAUCCAGUAUGACUGGUGUCCUUAUUAAGAAAAAAAAGGGAAAUUUGAACACAAACAGGGAGAACACUGUGAAGAUGAAGGCAGGGACCUACAAGGCAAGGAUGCCAAAGACUGUCAGAAAAUGACCAGAAGGUAAGGAAGAGGCCUGGAACAGAUUCUCCACCUCACAGCCCUCAGAAGGAACCAAUCUUACCAACACGUUGAUCUCAGACUUCUUGCCUCCAGAACUGCGAGACAAUAAAUCUCUGUUGUUGAAGUGAGCGACCCAGUGUGUGGUACGUUGUUACAGCGGCCCCAGGAGACUAAUGCAGUGGCAGAGCCAGGAUUCAAACCCAGGCCGUCUGGUGCCAGGGCCCAAGCACUCACCACUCUGCAUGGUGGUGGUUGGUGGUGUUCUGUCCUGCUCAGACACACCCACUCUUCGUCUUUCUUCCUUCACUCCCUUCUCCUCCCUCCUUCCCUCUUUUUUCUCCAACUCUACCAUUUCUACUUUUCCUUGUUUCUCUCCAUCCAUAUUAGUUAUGUCUGUGCAAGAAAAUACCUAAAACUAAGACUUUAAACAACUAACAUGGACUGUCUAACAGUUUCUGUGCAUCAGGAAUUGGGGUGUGUCCUAGCCAGGUGCCUCUGGCUCCAGGUUUCUCAUGAGGUUGCAGUCCGGCUGCUGUCAGCUGGAGCUGGGACAUCUCAGGACUUGGCAGGGACCAAAGGAUCUGCUUAUGAGCUCACUCAUGUGCUUGUUGGCAGCCUUAGUUCCUCAUAGACUGUUGGAUUGAGGGCCUCAUUCCUAGCCACACCAUAUUUUUUUACCAAGGUAAUAAAUGCUGUUUAUGACUUUAAAUCUACACAGUAUACAAAUACAUUAAUACACUGUGAAAUGAAAAAAACCAAACACAUUUAUGAUAGUAUUAUUGGUCACCAACGUGGAGAGAGGAAGGAAACUUCACAGUUGUGGAAUGCCCAAAUAUUCUCAUUAAGGCCAUGUGGUCCUCUUCAUUGGGCUGCUUUUGAUGUGAGUUAUCCGAGAGAGAGAGAGAGAGAGAGAGAGAGAGGCUGCUCAGGUACCCAGGAUGGAAACCACAGUCUUUUUAUAACCUAAUCUUGGAAAUGAUACCCCACUGCUUCUGCCAUAUUCUAUUCAUUAGAAGUGAGGAUCACCCAAGGGUGAGAAUACCAGGAUGUGGGGAUCAUUGAGGGUCCUCCAGAAGGCUGCCUCCCACACCAUCCUCCCUCUGCUGGUGUGCUCAUGACCGCUGGGUCACCCUUGCUGACGGGAGAGAGGGGUGGGGCCUCGACUGUGAUUUGCGGUCCGAGUACAUGUGGUGGGGGAGAGGCAGUGUGAGGACAGAGCCACUUGAUGCUGGAAAGAGCCAAGGUGUGCUCAAAACUACAUACAUUCAAUUAAUGUCUCUGAAAUAUUUUAUUUGCUAUAAGAAUAUAAUGCAAAAUACCAAAGCAUUUGUGAAGUGCCCUGAGGAAGCUUCAAGACAUAGCGUUUCCAGUGUCCUCAGAAGAAGCUUCUAAGGCCUCAGAGAAAAAUAUAAGUUUUGGCCAAAUGCCUCAAAUCCAUAUGCACACUCCAUCUACCAAAUGGUGUUAAUAGUUUCCUUUUUAAAGAACUCUUGAGUUCUGAUGCUCCAUGUGGAGAUGGAAAAUCAAGUCGUGCCCCGCAGUGGCUGGUCCUCAUAAUUAAGAUUAAACUCGUACACAGAGACCAACUGGAAAAGGGCUUUUCUCCUGGACCAGUUAAAAUGGAGCCCCUCUACCUGAAGAUGAGCAGCAACAAGCUCACAGGCAAAAUCUACCACUGGAUGGAGUAGAUGUGACUCCUUCUCUCUAAUGCCAACACGCAUGUGCAGAGGGUUUUACAGUGUGUGAAGCACUUUACCAUCAAUUAUUCAGUCCUCUCCACAGCCCAUGAGGUGAGUGGGUAUGGCCUACAUCAUUAUUUCUGUCUCGUUCAAGAGGAAACUGAGUCUCAGAGGAAGUGACUUGUGUAAGGACCAGAGUUGGGCCUGAGCAGGCCUAAGAUGCAGACCUGCUCUCUACAGAGCCCAGGGCAGUCUUUCCAUCCCCAAACUGAGAAAAUUAGGAAGGGACAGUAGAAAGCCAGCUAAGUGGAGGGUAAUAAGUGGGCUUAUAUCCCAGCUUUGGAAGAAAAACAGGAGUUUUCACUGAGGCCUCAUGGGCCAGCAGUAGAUUUAAUGCAGUCAUGAGCAGGUCAAAGCAUGAGAGAAGGAGACCAACUGGGAUGUUUCUUGGGUCUUUCCUGAUCUGCUCUCUUGGUUGGACUUCCAGCUCUCAACUCUGUGGCCACCCACAAGCCCAGCAUAAACAGGAUUGAAAACUCGGUCCUCUCCAUUUGUCCCUCUUCCACCUUCUCGAGUGAGGGCUUUCUCACUCAACAAAAAUUUUCUGAGUGCUUCCUCUGUGCCAGGCACCAAGGAUACAGCAGUGGGCAACACCCAAGCAGAUCUCUGCCUUCCUUGAAGUUCUAUGCUCCACUCUCCCUAUUUCAUUUCAGGUCUGUCAGCACUUCAGCGUGUGUUGGAGUUGUAGGCAUCAUCAGAAGAGCUGGAGCUGUGAGUCCAUCGUCCAACGUUGAAGAAACAGAAAGAAAGCUUUCUAUUUUCCAGAGGCAGGCCUGUGCAAAGCAACCUUUCCCAGAUGGGUGGACUCCGCAGUCCUCUCGUAAUGGACCCCACACAGGCACACUGAGUCAGCACGCACAGAUUUCUGUUAAAACACUGACUGGGCUCUUUGAGCACCAGAAGUUAUCCAGCCGUGUCUCAUCAGCAGCCAACAACUCCAUGCUCCUCAUGGCUCCCUCCCCGACAUCAGUCCUGAGGGGAUAUCAGAGAGUCCGAGAGCCCAACUACAGUCCGAAGACUUGGUCAUGGUUAGUGGCGGAUGUGCCACUAACGACUGUAUAAUCUUGGGUGAAUCAUUCUGAUCUUUGGCCUCUUGUGUCCUCAUUUAUGCAAUAAUGUACCCCUAAGGUUUCUUCUGGUUCUAGAACUCUCUGACACUCAGACAUGGCCAGAUCCCCAUGUUAACCAUUGUGCUGCGUUCCAGUGCCGGUCUUUGGGUUUUGCUCUUUGCCUGAAAAAGGGUGUUACUGUGUCAAGUGCACACUGUUUGCUUCCUGAGAAACAGAGAAGCGUCUCGGCUGAAUCUGGGAAUUUUGGACUUUUCCAGACUUGGAUCCCAGCCCAGAGGCAAGGAAGAGCAUGAGGUCAUUCUAAAUGGAGGGGAAAAUGGCUCCUGGCAGCUCCAGGGGCCCUAAAGAUCUUUGAUCCCAGUGGAAGAGAGAAAGUCCCUUCUGAGAGCUCCAGAAAGCAGGAAGGCUGAUUUUUCUGGCUUGAGCUACACAUCUACCUCUGAAGCACUGUGGUCAAGGAAAUUGAGUACUAGGUUUGGCUUGUGUUUAUCACAUGCCCACCCCUGGGGCAAAGGGUGGGGGUCACUCCUCACCCAUUCACUUGGACUGACCAGCGUUCAAUAGACCAGGAUGUGGGUGGUUUUCCAAGGGAAAAUAUUUUGAGAAAACAUAUGUCUGCUCCAAAGAAGAAAUGCGCUGCUUGCUCAUCCCAAACGUGUGAGCAUAUAUUGCCUAAGGAGAGAGACUGAAUUAAUUAGGAUGGCCGUGAGGUCAGAAAGAGUGGGGGAUGCCCUAAGGGUCUCUGGGUGAACCACACAGUUGCUCAGUGGUUCUAGCAGGAGAGCACACAACAUCUCGUCCAGCCCUCUGCCAUCUCACAAGGGCUUCUGCAUGUAGAAGAGAUGAAGGUCUUUGUGUGUCAUUUGCGGGGCUAGGGGUCCAGUGCUUCCCCUGGAAGAGGCCUCUGUCUCCCACUCUGUGCACUCCUCUGACUAUGAAAGUGGGAAACUGUCACCAACUAGCUGCCCUGAGGAAGUCAAGGACGGGUUUGGAAGAAUUGAAUUGUUUUUCCAAAUUGUUUUUUCCCCUUUCAUUAUGUUAAGAGAAUGCAAUCACCAACCACCUUGAACCAGACCAAGCCUCACUACAAGAGCUAUGCUUAUGACCUUUGCCUUAUGUUCGAUGCUGCGAUCUCUCCAGGAGAAUCUUAGGCCUUAUUCCCGUAACCUGCAGUGUAUGUGGAAGCAUGUUUUCGAACGGAGCCUGUGCAAGUGAAUACCCACCUCUCCCUUUUGAAUAUUCAUUCCCCACCCGAAAUAAAAGGUCCCUGCUUCCCUUUGUUUGGGGACGCCAUGACUCUGGAAAUGAUU
RNAcentral lists this long non-coding RNA (4386 nucleotides) under Equus caballus (horse). RNAcentral describes it as "lncRNA (ENSECAG00000060337.1)". The record is from RNAcentral. Lineage: Eukaryota; Metazoa; Chordata; Mammalia; Perissodactyla; Equidae.